RNAcentral lists this ribosomal RNA (465 nucleotides) under uncultured bacterium. Its description in RNAcentral is "partial 16S ribosomal RNA". It matches the Rfam family "Bacterial small subunit ribosomal RNA", at positions 338 to 795 of the family's 1533-position model. The record is from RNAcentral.
CCUACGGGUGGCAGCAGUGGGGAAUAUUGCGCAAUGGGCGAAAGCCUGACGCAGCGACGCCGCGUGAGGGAUGGAGGUCUUCGGAUCGUAAACCUCUGUCCGCAGGGAAGAACGGUCACUGUGCUAAUCAGCAGUGAAUUGACGGUACCUGCAAAGGAAGCACCGGCUAACUCCGUGCCAGCAGCCGCGGUAAUACGGAGGGUGCGAGCGUUAAUCGGAAUGACGGGGCGUAAAGCGCUCGUAGGCGGUAUGUGAAGUCAAGGGUGAAAGCCCCGGGCUCAACGUGGGAACGGCAUUUGAUACGGGGAAACUGGAGUGUGUGAGAGGAUAGUGGAAUUCCAGGUGUAGGAGUGAAAGCCGUAGAUAUCUGGAGGAACAUCAGUGGCGAAGGCGACUAUCUGGCACAUAACUGACGCUGAGGAGCGAAAGCGUGGGUAGCAAACAGGAUUAGAUACCCCUGUAGUC